UCAGAAAGAAAAAAAACGGCACACCUUCCCUCGAUCUUCUUCUUCAUUUUCAUUUCUCAAAACCCCAACCCCCUCUCCUUCCUCAUCUCACUCAUCUGAUAGUACACACUCAAAGACGGAGCUCCCCCUUUCAUUCGUCAACAGAGAACACGGACAAGAAUAGGAGUCGGACAGAAUUUUUAUAGAGGGAGCUCGAACCCAAAUCUGAGGUCCUAAAAUCCAAAACAAAAAAGGGUAGAGAUUUAGAUUGAUUUUGCAUUCAAACAGUUCGAAAAAGCAGAAAAUGUUAUGGUUUGUUCUUGUUGAUUCAAGGAAUCUUUCUUUGUCAUUUCGUUGAAUUUCGAGUUUGGUUUGAAUCCGAAAUUGAAGUUGAGUAUGUUGUUCUUGAGCUGUUGAAUUCCGUGUUCAAUUCCAGCCUUUAUUUGGGUUGUUUUUUUCUACAAUUUCCCUGCUAUUAGGUAUGUAUUCCUUUAAGCUAUGUUCAGAUUUACUAUGAUAUGGAAUUGUGUUUAUUGUCUAGCUCAUUUUUUUAAGCUAUGGUCGAAUUCGAUUUCAUCUGUUAUUGCUAUUAGAACCCUAUCUGUUUUCAUUUUUUUUUUUUGGUAUGAAACUUGCAUAAUCAGCUGGGUUGAAAAAUUAGUGGCUCGGUAGUUGUUGAUUAACACGGAUUAUAAUUAUAUCCUUCAUGAUUAGAUAUGUAUUUUAUCCGUAAAUUAGUUAAUUUCACAUCUCCUUAUGGAUUAGAGUUAGAACUUAAAAUAAGAUAGUAGUGGAAAAGAACAAACUUUGGAGGUUCAGGAAUUCUGCAACUAAGAUUCAUAUCAUUAAAUGAUAAUCUCUCCUUCACUCGUUUAAGUAGAUUCGUAGUAAUGUUAGUCCCAUUCAAUGUGUGAAGAACUGCUCUUUCUCCUUCCCUGUGACUGUUAUUCUCAAUCUUGCGCUCUCUAUGCUACACUAGCAAGUCUGGUCUCAUGUAUCAAGUUAUGCUCUUUCUUUUAGCUUUUUUUCCCCUUUUCCUUAGGACUUUCAGAUUCCGGUAUGAACUUUACAUUUUCAUGAGAUCAUGUGGGAAGGGUCCAUUCGCGAGAAGCUUUAUUGUCCGAUAUCUUCUUCUCUUUUCAAUUAUUUUAGGUUUUCUUUACCUCUUUUAGUUGUUUACCUACUGAAUUUUUCUCUUUCUUGACAUGUGCAACUCUAUUAGGUCUGGUAAAACAUUUUCUACUAUGUCUUUUGUUAAUCUACUAUGCCUUGUGAUAUUCCUUAUGCAUGGCAACUGUCUGAUAGUGGCUUUUGUAUGAACUGGAAAUAUUAGGAGCUUGUUAUAUGGAUUCACAAAACUUAAAUAAAUGUUUGAAAAUAACCAUUGCGGGAUUUGGAGGAGAAAGUAACAUGGAGACUUUGCAUAAUCUUGUGGAGCGCUUGAAGAAUCCUCAACAUAUACUUGUUUUAAAAAAUAGGGAAUCCUUAAAAUGUAGAGAAUCACAGUGCUUUAAUCUUCUGUCAACAUUUGAGGAGAAUACCAAUUAAGCUCCAAUUAAUCAUGAACAAUCGUAGCAUGCUUUAGGCACGAUUAAUAAACCAUCAUGAUUAUGGGUAUGGUUCCCUGACAUAGUUACGAUGCCUAAUUUCUUAAAUUCGGGUGUGCAUUUCAUGUGACCCGAUCAUAACAACUUCGAACAAUAAUAAAUAAACAUGUCGCAAAUUGCGGGUGCAUAUCAUGUAGUGCGGUUUGUGAUGUGUCCCAAAACAACAAGUGUACGACAAUCGUAACUUAUUCAAGAAAUAAUUCCGUAAAUCCUAAAAAUAGUUUAAAUAAAUAAAAGCGGUUAUAAAAGUUAAAAAAUGCACAAUAGGUUUAAAAUAUGUAAUAAAUCAGAUAUUUAAGGCCAAUUAUUAAUAGUUUAAGCGACCGUCUCGAACCACGGAAUCCGGGAAUAUCUAACACCUUCUUCCGAGUUAACAUAAUUCCUUACAUAGAAUUUCUGGUUUCGCAGACUUUUAAAUAAAGUCAAAAUUCUUCUCGAUUUGGGAUUUAAAAUAAACCGGUGACUUGGGACACCAUAAAAUUAUUCCAAGUGGCGACUCUGAAAUAAAUAAAAUAAUUCAAUUUCGAUUUAUGUUACUUCAAUUGUCAAAACUCCCUUAUAUACCCUCUUUCGGGUGGUAGAAAGGAGGUGUGAUAGCAUGGACAAUUGGAAGGGAGUCCGGACAUGGCCAUCUUUGCCUUGUGUAGUCAUCAUACCCUUCAGAAUGGAUUUCAAGAGUCGCCUUCCUUGACCUCUGCAUUUGCCAUGAAUUCAAUGAUCUUAUUCCUGGAUAGCCUUUCAUCCAUCUGAAGGACCAUGUCCUUCCAGCCCUGAGCAGCUAGUGCAUCCACCAAUCAAACCAUUCCUAAUUCCAUCAAGUCUUUCAACAAUCUACCCUUCAAAAUGUUUCUUUUGUCAAACUUGGCUAGCUUGUCUUGUUCACCAUCAGACUCACUCUCUUCUUCACCACUCUAUUCUUCAUCCUCAACAAUUCUAUCCCGUUUGUUUUUCACUACAGACCUUGUCCUCUUGGCCAAUGAAGGAUCAACAGCCUUAGACACAGAUGAAGACUUCUUGAAAGAAGUCUUGGUCUUUUUGGGCUUGGGGGUCUGAACCUCCACAGUUGUGUGUUCCUCCUGAUGGACCUGCUCCAUCUCCUCAACAUCAACAGCCUCAUAGGGCUCUGCAACCUUAGCUUUUCCUUUAUCCAUCCUUUCUUCUUCUUUUCUGCCAUAACCUUUUGUAACUUACUCUCACUCUGCUUCAUCAUGCUUCGUGUGGCCCUUCUUUUUGGUAAAGAAAUCUCAGCAGUUUUUGGAGAAGAAGUCUUUCUUUUCUUAGAAGAUUUUGCAGUGCUGGGGCUUUUGGCAUUGAGGUUCUCCUUUUCUUUGGAUCAUAACUAGCACCUACUUUCUUCAGAAGGUCUGUUAGGGUCUCCUCAAUAGAUGAACCAGGUUCAUCUGCAUGUGCACUUAGAUUAACCAACCCUUCAACAGUCUCCCCUGAACCACUUCCCCCUGUCUUCUUGCUACUUUCUUCUACAGUUGCAUGUUCAACACCACAGAUAGCUGGUACCACCAAUUUAGAAGUGGGUGAAGAACCAGCCACUUCUUUCCCUUUUCCCCUCACAUCACUACGCACACCCUCACCCUCACUCUCCUUUUCUUUUUCUCUUUUAUUUUUAUCACCUCUCCUUCUUGACUCAGGCAAUUACACAUUCCUAACAGACCCAACUAGAACAAACCUAUUGUCUAAAUUCUAAACCAAAGCAGAACGUACCUAAGAAAGGGAGUUUUGAGCCUUCUCAGAGUCAGAAGACCCAGUUCCUACCCCCCUUACUCGUAGAUUUGAACGAAUCGUCUGAGUUCUCAGAAUCUUGGGCUUGGCUUGCCUUUAAUUUCUCGUUUAAUCUCUUUGAAAGAGCACCAGUUGCCACCGUUUUGCGGGCAAGCAUUUUUACUCGCCUUCUCCUAGGUUGAAGGGUUGUGCUAGGUGGAGGAGGGGUGGAUGAAUCAGAUGGGGUGGGUUGUGGAGGAGUGCCUGAGUUAUCUUGGGGAUUAGUCAUCUUGCUAAUUCUAGAAGAGAAUUUGUGAAUUGGGGUUUUGGAAGAGAGAAGAAUAGAGUGCAGAAGAAAUUCGAUGGUUUUAGAGAAUUAUGAAAGUGGUAGUGUGACGACCCGGCUAGUCGUCUCAUGAGUUACCACUCCGUAUCCCCCAUUUCUGCUUCUUUAUGCUUUGUUGUUCGUGUUUUGUGGUAUCGGGUUGGUCGGAUCGAAUCCGGAAUGAUUUUGGUAAGGUUUGAGACACUUAAUCUCUUUUAAGGAAGCUUAAGUUGGAAAAGUCAACAGGAUGUUGACUUAUGUGUUAGAGGGCUUGGAUGUGAGUUUCGAUGGUUCGGUUAGCUUCGAGAGGUGAUUUAUGACUUAGGAGCGUGAUCAGAAUGAGUUUCGGAGGUUCGGAGUAGAUUUAGGCUUGAAUUGGCGAAGUUGAUAUUUUGGCGAUUUCCGGUUGGUAGGUGAGAUUUUUAUAUAGGGGUUGGAAUGGAAUUCCGAGAGUUGCAAUAGUUUUGUUGAGUAAUUUGGGAUGUGCGUGCAAACUUUCAGGUCAUUCGGACGUGGUUUGGUUGGGUUUUUGAUCAAAAGCGGAAUUCGGAAGAUUUUAGAAAAUUUGGCUUGAAUCCGAUGUGUUUAGAUUGAUUCGAUGUUGUUCGAGAUGUUUUGAAGAUUGGUACAAGUUUGAAUAAGGUAUUAGGAUAUGUUUGUGCUUUUGGUUGAGGUCUUGGGGCCCUCGGGAUGAUUUCAGAUGGUUAACGGAGAAGUUUGGACUUUGUUGCAGCUACUGAAUUUGUUGCUUCUAGUAUUUCCACACUUGCGGAUUGGGGACCGCAGGUGUGGCACCACAUAAGCGGAGGAAUUGAUCGCAAAAGAGAAAAUGGCUCGAGGAGCAGGAACCGCAGAAGCGGGUAAGUGGACCGCAUUUGCGAUGUCGCAGAUGCGGGUAGGGGACCGUAGAUGCGGACUAAGGUCAGUAAGUGAUUUCAAACCUUAUUUACUUUAGUUACUUAGUGAGUUGGCGUACUGACAUACUCCCUGCACCUUGUGUGCAGAUCCAGGUGCCCGAGCGGCAGAGUGAGGGUCCUCAGCAUUUUCAGAGUU
Molecule: long non-coding RNA, 4680 nt
Filed under: Nicotiana tabacum (common tobacco)
Lineage: Eukaryota; Viridiplantae; Streptophyta; Magnoliopsida; Solanales; Solanaceae
Description: long non-coding RNA (NTAB_LNC003183)
Source: RNAcentral